GUGGGGAAUAUUGGACAAUGGGCGCAAGCCUGAUCCAGCAAUGCCGCGUGCAGGAAGAAGGCCUUCGGGUUGUAAACUGCUUUUGUACGGAACGAAACGGUCCGGGUUAAUACCCUGGGCUAAUGACGGUACCGUAAGAAUAAGCACCGGCUAACUACGUGCCAGCAGCCGCGGUAAUACGUAGGGUGCAAGCGUUAAUCGGAAUUACUAGGCGUAAAGCGUGCGCAGGCGGUUUUGUAAGACAGGCGUGAAAUCCCCGGGCUCAACCUGGGAACUGCGCUUGUGACUGCAAGGCUGGAGUGCGGCAGAGGGGGAUGGAAUUCCGCGUGUAGCAGUGAAAUGCGUAGAUAUGCGGAGGAACACCGAUGGCGAAGGCAAUCCCCUGGGCCUGCACUGACGCUCAUGCACGAAAGCGUGGGGAGCAAACAGGAUUAGAUACCCUAGUAGUCC
RNAcentral lists this ribosomal RNA (450 nucleotides) under uncultured bacterium. Its description in RNAcentral is "partial 16S ribosomal RNA". It matches the Rfam family "Bacterial small subunit ribosomal RNA", at positions 354 to 796 of the family's 1533-position model. The record is from RNAcentral.